GUCGAACGAGGUCCAUCUUGUAGCAAUACAAGUGAAGACCUAGUGGCGAACGGGUGAGGAACACGUGAGAAAUUUGCCCCGAACUUUGGGAUAACAGUUGGAAACGACUGCUAAUACCGAAUGCCGUUACGAAGUGGCAUCACUAUGUAACGAAAGAAUUUCGGUUCGGGAGAAUCUCGCGGCCUAUCAGCUUGUUGGUGAGGUAACGGCUCACCAAGGCUACGACGGGUAGCUGGUCUGAGAGGAUGAUCAGCCACACUGGGACUGAGACACGGCCCAGACUCCUACGGGAGGCAGCAGUGGGGAACCUUGUGCAAUGGACGAAAGUCUGACACAGCCACGCCGCGUGCGGGAAGAAGGCCUUCGGGUUGUAAACCGCUUUCAGCAGGAACGAAAAUGACGGUACCUGCAGAAGAAGGAGCGGCCAA
This 428-nucleotide ribosomal RNA is filed under the name uncultured bacterium. Its description in RNAcentral is "bacterial SSU rRNA". It matches the Rfam family "Bacterial small subunit ribosomal RNA", at positions 61 to 500 of the family's 1533-position model. The record is from RNAcentral.